Molecule: ribosomal RNA, 266 nt
Filed under: Salmonella enterica subsp. enterica serovar Muenchen
Lineage: Bacteria; Pseudomonadati; Pseudomonadota; Gammaproteobacteria; Enterobacterales; Enterobacteriaceae
Also listed under: 4 other names
Description: partial 23S ribosomal RNA
Rfam family: Bacterial large subunit ribosomal RNA
Source: RNAcentral
CCUAGUACGAGAGGACCGGAGUGGACGCAUCACUGGUGUUCGGGUUGUCAUGCCAAUGGCACUGCCCGGUAGCUAAAUGCGGAAGAGAUAAGUGCUGAAAGCAUCUAAGCACGAAACUUGCCCCGAGAUGAGUUCUCCCUGAGACUUAGAGUCUCCUGAAGGAACGUUGAAGACGACGACGUUGAUAGGCCGGGUGUGUAAGCGCAGCGAUGCGUUGAGCUAACCGGUACUAAUGAACCGUGAGGCUUAACCUUACAACGCCGAAG